GGGCGAAACACGCCGAGUCCUGCCCCGUCCGAUGACCGUCAAACCAACGGCAGGAGCGGGGGAACCACUUCCCGGGCGCUGCACAGCACCCUUGGGGUGAAGCCGCAGGAUGCGGCCGGGCAUUUCCCAGCCCGAACCCGACAGCUUACCUCGCAGGCGUAGGGAAAGGGCAU
This 173-nucleotide small RNA is filed under the name unidentified. Its description in RNAcentral is "Frankia symbiont c-di-AMP sequence". It matches the Rfam family "c-di-AMP riboswitch aptamer (ydaO/yuaA leader)". From Rfam's summary of the family: This family represents a conserved RNA structure found upstream of the ydaO and yuaA genes in Bacillus subtilis and related genes in other bacteria. The ydaO/yuaA element is thought to act as a genetic "off" switch for the ydaO and yuaA genes in its native state. The record is from RNAcentral.